This 2127-nucleotide long non-coding RNA is filed under the name Carassius auratus (goldfish). RNAcentral describes it as "lncRNA (ENSCARG00000000920.1)". The record is from RNAcentral. Lineage: Eukaryota; Metazoa; Chordata; Actinopteri; Cypriniformes; Cyprinidae.
AUGAAGAGAGCAGAGUCACUCGAGAGCCUCUCAGAAGAGCUGGGGGAGGCCAAAGAAAUCAUCGAGAGGAUGAAGAAACAACGGCGCAUCUGCAAAUGGAUGAGUAUAAUACUGUGGAUGUUAAUAAUUCUAGGAUUAUUAUUAUUAAUAUUAAUUAGAGUGAGCUUUGUUCUAGAGUGGAGAAUUUUUACUAAUUCUUUGAUAUUAGCUGAGAUUUUAGUUCAACAACAAAAUGUUUCAGGAUUUGAAGUUUCUGUAUGGGCAACUGUUAAAGGAAACAGAACUAAAAUAGAGAACAAAACAAUAGGUUUUUGGAGAUGGCUAGAUAAUCUCCAUGACAAGAAGAAUGAUUACUACAUGGUUAGAAAACCAAAGGUCAAACUAAAGAGCACUGUAAAAAUAAAACAUUGGCACAGUAGUGACAUUGAAGUAUAUGAAGAAAAUAGUUUUAUCCAAAAACAAGAAGGGAAUAGGACUAUUAAAUAUUUUAUAGGUUCUACCUAUAGAACAAGUGAAAAUGAGGAACUAGGGGGAUGUUGGAUAUUUAGAUCAGCAAAAGAUUUUAACCCCUGGACAAUAAGACAGUGUAAAUAUAAAGGUACUGUUAAAAGAAGUAAGAGAGAUAAAAAUAUGGAUAAAAUAAAAAGUGCAGCAGGAAUAAGGGAAAAUGUUGAAAAAUGGAUAGAAACCAAUGGUAUGUUAUUUAAAGAAGGAAAUUUCAUUGUGUUAACGACAGUAAGAGACCGAUCAGUAGGAUCAAGAAAAACAGGAUAUGCAGAACUAGAAAUUACAUCUGAAACCAGAAUUAGUUUAGAGUUAAAUAAAACCGUACCAUGGAUAUGGAAAAGGAGAUUAGCUUUACCUAGAGUAAAAUUUAAUUUCAAAAUAGGUUACUGGGAAAUAGAUGAAGUUAAAUGGGAAACUGAUGUAUAUCUAAUCCAAAUGGAAAUAAAAGAAACAUUACAAACAGAAAUAGAAAUUAAAAACUAUUAUGAAGAUAAGGUGAAACAAAUAGAACAAUGUGUUAGAAAAGAAAUGGGUAAAAAAUACCAUGGACAAAAAUACAAAUACAUUAAGACUGAUAGUGUUGAUUUUUCCUAUGCUCACUUUUGUGACAAAGAUGAAGAGAAUAUGGACUGUGAUGAUUUCUGUAAUGGUACAGAUCCAAUCACAGGGAAUAAAACAAAUGAGAACUUAAGUAUAAAGAGAAGGUUAUACUUAAAAAGAUUAAACCUUAAUCGAAGGAAAGACAAAGAAGGUAUUUAUAGAAACAAUUUAGUUUUCUUUAGUGAUGCUGUUUUUGGAUUAUUAGGAAAUGAGUGUGGGAGUAUAAUUGAAAAAUGCUCAUCAGGACAUGAUCAAAUUACUAUUAAUCAAAUAGCAUCAGUGUUAUGUUAUUGGAGUAAGGGGAUAGUUCCCUUACCUUGGACUUUUAAGAGAAGUAAACUGGCUAACAAAUAUGAAAUGACUUAUGGAACUGGAGGGGUAAUAAGAAUCGUUAGUAGGAACCCUCAGUGGAAAAUGUUUUAUGGACCAGUAUAUUAUGCAACAAAUAGCAUGUUAAGGUAUAGAGUUCCAAAAGGAGGGAAGAAUGUACCCUUAACUAAAUUAGAUGCUAUAGCAAUUGAUGAUUUGUCACUAACAAUUGAAAGAAGAAAUUGGAAGGAAAAUUGGUGCAAAGCAAAAGAUAAAAAUUAUUAUCUGGGUUUAGACUGGUUGAGAAAUGAUCUAUGUAAUACUAGCAUAGAAAUCAAAGGUCAGAAAAUAAAAGGAGGACCAAGAUGGUUUGAAGAUCCUGGAGAAUUUGUGAAAAAAGGAGUGGAAGGUGUGAAAAAGGCAGCUGAAACUGUGUUUAAUUUUGUUACAACGGAUUUAUGGAGUAGUCUAAUUAAUCUCUUUAUUAGAGCCGGAUGGUACAUUUUAUAUGGGGGAUUAAUUGUAUUAGGACUAGUUAUAAUAAUGGUUAUUAUAAAAUGUUUCUGUGCAUCUCUAGGCCAAAGAAUGAUGUCCAGAAAAGACAAUGGAGAUGUAUUAACGGUAUUAGGAAAAUUAAUAGAUUUUCAAGAUAAAGGGCAUAAACGUAUUAAACGAACAAAGAAGCAUGACUUAGAAAAACCGUUAUUGUAG